This 334-nucleotide ribosomal RNA is filed under the name uncultured Anoxybacillus sp. Its description in RNAcentral is "bacterial SSU rRNA". It matches the Rfam family "Bacterial small subunit ribosomal RNA", at positions 1044 to 1382 of the family's 1533-position model. Lineage: Bacteria; Bacillati; Bacillota; Bacilli; Caryophanales; Anoxybacillaceae. The record is from RNAcentral.
GAUGGUUGUCGUCAGCUCGUGUCGUGAGAUGUGGUUAAGUCCGCAACGAGCGCAACCCUCGACCUUAGUUGCCAGCAUUCAGUUGGGCACUCUAAGGUGACUGCCGGCUAAAAGUCGGAGGAAGGUGGGGAUGACGUCAAAUCAUCAUGCCCCUUAUGACCUGGGCUACACACGUGCUGCAAUGGGCGGUACAAAGGGUCGCGAACCCGCGAGGGGGAGCCAAUCCCAAAAAGCCGCUCUCAGUUCGGGUUGCAGGCUGCAACUCGCCUGCAUGAAGCCGGAAUCGCUAGUAAUCGCGGAUCAGCAUGCCGCGGUGAAUACGUUCCCGGGCCUU